RNAcentral lists this ribosomal RNA (406 nucleotides) under uncultured bacterium. Its description in RNAcentral is "partial 16S ribosomal RNA". It matches the Rfam family "Bacterial small subunit ribosomal RNA", at positions 30 to 526 of the family's 1533-position model. The record is from RNAcentral.
AUUGAACGCUCGCGGCAGGCCUACCACAUGCAAGUCGCACGAGUGGCGGACGGGUGAGUAAUGUCUGGGAAACUGCCUGAUGGAGGGGGAUAACUACUGUAAACUGUAGCUAAUACCGCAUACCAUCUGAUGUGCCCAGAUGGGAUUAGCUAGUAGGUGGGGUAAAGGCUCACCUCGGCGACGAUCCCUAGCUGGUCUGAGAGGAUGACCAGCCACACGGGAACUGAGACACGGUCCAUAAGCCUACGGGAGGCAGCAGUGGGGAAUAUUGCACAAUGGGCGAAAGCCUGAGGCAGCCAUGCCGCGUGUAUGAAGAAGGCCUUCGGUUUGUAAAGUACUUUCAGCGAGGAGGCGUUACUCGCAGAAGAAGCACCGGCUAACUCCGUGCCAGCAGCCGCGGUAAUUC